This 864-nucleotide ribosomal RNA is filed under the name uncultured bacterium. RNAcentral's name for it is "bacterial SSU rRNA". It matches the Rfam family "Bacterial small subunit ribosomal RNA", at positions 58 to 916 of the family's 1533-position model. The record is from RNAcentral.
CAAGUCGAGCGGAGCGAGGGUGCUUGCACCUUAGCUUAGCGGCGGACGGGUGAGUAAUGCUUAGGAAUCUGCCUAUUAGUGGGGGACAACAUUCCGAAAGGAAUGCUAAUACCGCAUACGCCCUACGGGGGAAAGCAGGGGAUCUUCGGACCUUGCGCUAAUAGAUGAGCCUAAGUCAGAUUAGCUAGUUGGUGGAGUAAAGGCCUACCAAGGCGACGAUCUGUAGCGGGUCUGAGAGGAUGAUCCGCCACACUGGGACUGAGACACGGCCCAGACUCCUACGGGAGGCAGCAGUGGGGAAUAUUGGACAAUGGGCGAAAGCCUGAUCCAGCCAUGCCGCGUGUGUGAAGAAGGCCUUUUGGUUGUAAAGCACUUUAAGCGAGGAGGAGGCUACUUGGAUUAAUACUCUAGGAUAGUGGACGUUACUCGCAGAAUAAGCACCGGCUAACUCUGUGCCAGCAGCCGCGGUAAUACAGAGGGUGCGAGCGUUAAUCGGAUUUACUGGGCGUAAAGCGUGCGUAGGCGGCUUUUUAAGUCGGAUGUGAAAUCCCUGAGCUUAACUUAGGAAUUGCAUUCGAUACUGGGAAGCUAGAGUAUGGGAGAGGAUGGUAGAAUUCCAGGUGUAGCGGUGAAAUGCGUAGAGAUCUGGAGGAAUACCGAUGGCGAAGGCAGCCAUCUGGCCUAAUACUGACGCUGAGGUACGAAAGCAUGGGGAGCAAACAGGAUUAGAUACCCUGGUAGUCCAUGCCGUAAACGAUGUCUACUAGCCGUUGGGGCCUUUGAGGCUUUAGUGGCGCAGCUAACGCGAUAAGUAGACCGCCUGGGGAGUACGGUCGCAAGACUAAAACUCAAAUGAAUUGACGG